CAGUCGCCACGGGAACACGUAGGGUGCAAGCGUUAAUCGGAAUUACUGGCCGUAAAGCGUGCGCAGGCGGUUAUAUAAGUCAGAUGUGAAAUCCCCGGGCUCAACCUGGGAACUGCAUUUGAGACUGUAUGGCUAGAGUGUGUCAGAGGGGGAUAGAAUUCCACGUGUAGCAGUGAAAUGCGUAGAUAUGUGGAGGAAUACCGAUGGCGAAGGCAGCCCCCUGGGAUAACACUGACGCUCAUGCACGAAAGCGUGGGGAGCAAACAGGAUUAGAUACCCGGGUAGUCCCUGUCUCUUAUAC
This 301-nucleotide ribosomal RNA is filed under the name uncultured bacterium. Its description in RNAcentral is "partial 16S ribosomal RNA". It matches the Rfam family "Bacterial small subunit ribosomal RNA", at positions 509 to 807 of the family's 1533-position model. The record is from RNAcentral.